RNAcentral lists this ribosomal RNA (1223 nucleotides) under metagenome. RNAcentral's name for it is "bacterial SSU rRNA". It matches the Rfam family "Bacterial small subunit ribosomal RNA", at positions 289 to 1498 of the family's 1533-position model. The record is from RNAcentral.
GGCCUGAGAGGGUGUUCGGCCACACUGGGACUGAGACACUGCCCAGACGCCUACGGGAGGCUGCAGUCGAGAAUCUUCCGCAAUGGGCGCAAGCCUGACGGAGCGACGCCGCGUGGAGGAUGAAGGCCUUCGGGUUGUAAACUCCUGUCACAUGUUAAGAACCUCUCCGGGUUAAUACCCCGGAAAUUGACGAAUGCAUGAGAGGAAGCUCCGGCUAACUUCGUGCCAGCAGCCGCGGUAAUACGAAGGGAGCAAGCGUUGUUCGGAAUCACUGGGCAUAAAGAGCACGUAGGCGGCCACGUCAGUCAGUUGUGAAAUCCUCCGGCUUAACCGGGGAACUGCUUCUGAUACUGCGGGGCUAGAGUGCGGGAGGGGAGAGUGGAACUUCUGGUGGAGCGGUGAAAUGCGUAGAUAUCAGGAGGAACGCCGGUGGCGAAAGCGACUCUCUGGACCGUUACUGACGCUGAGGUGCGAAAGCUAGGGUAGCAAACAGGAUUAGAUACCCUGGUAGUCCUAGCCGUAAACGAUGGGCACUAGGUAGUGGGGGUUCCGAUACUUCCUCUGCUGGAGAUAAUUUUUUAAGUGCCCCGCCUGGGGAGUAUGGUCGCAAGGCUAAAACUCAAAGGAAUUGACUGGGGCUCACACAAGCGGUGGAGCAUGUGGUUUAAUUCGAAGCAACGCGAAGAACCUUACCCGGGUUUGACAUGCACGGAUUAGCUCGGUGAAAGCCGAGUGACGCUCUUGUAGUGGAACGUGCACAGGUGUUGCAUGGCUGUCGUCAGCUCGUGUCGUGAGGUGUUGGGUUAAGUCCCGUAACGAGCGAAACCCUUGUCCUUAGUUGCCAGCGGGUCAUGCCGGGGACUCUGAGGAGACCGCCGUUGUCAAAACGGAGGAAGGUGGGGAUGACGUCAAGUCAUCAUGGCCCUUAUGCCCGGGGCGACACACGUGCUACAAUGGCCGGCACAAAGGGACGCAAGACCGUGAGGUGGAGCAGACCCCAUAAAGCCGGCCCCAGUUCGGAUCGGAGGCUGAAAUUCGCCUCCGUGAAGUUGGAAUCGCUAGUAAUCGCGGAUCAGCCUUGCCGCGGUGAAUAUGUUCCUGAGCCUUGUACACACCGCCCGUCAAGCCACGAGAGCUGGCAGUGCCCGAAGUCGCUACCCCAACCCUUGGGAGGGGGGCGCCGACGGUAAGGUCAGUGAUUGGGACUAAGUCGAAGCAAGGUA